RNAcentral lists this ribosomal RNA (274 nucleotides) under uncultured bacterium. Its description in RNAcentral is "partial 16S ribosomal RNA". It matches the Rfam family "Bacterial small subunit ribosomal RNA", at positions 523 to 796 of the family's 1533-position model. The record is from RNAcentral.
AUACGAAGGGGGCAAGCGUUGUUCGGAAUAACUGGGCGUAAAGCGCACGUAGGCGGAAUGUUAAGUUAGAGGUGAAAUCCCAGGGCUCAACCCUGGAACGGCCUUUAAUACUGGCAAUCUAGAGACCGAGAGAGGUGAGUGGAAUUCCGAGUGUAGAGGUGAAAUUCGUAGAUAUUCGGAGGAACACCAGUGGCGAAGGCGGCUCACUGGCUCGGUACUGACGCUGUGGUGCGAAAGCGUGGGGAGCAAACAGGAUUAGAAACCCUAGUAGUCC